CAAUAGCGUAUAUUAAAGUUGUUGCAGUUAAAAAGCUCGUAGUUGGAUUUCUGAUGAGAGUACGGGUCGGCCUUAACGGGUUGCACUGUUGUUACGUCUCGUCGUUUCGAGGGGAAUGGGUUCGCUAUUAGGUUAGUGGGCUCGGGAACCUUGUCGUUUACUGUGAAAAAAUUAGAGUGUUCAAAGCAGGCCUUUGCUGUGAAUACAUUAGCAUGGAAUAAUAAGAUAGGACUGUAGUGCUAUUUUAUUGGUUUGCGUACUAUGGUAAUGAUUAAUAGGGAUAGUUGGGGGUAUUCAUAUUCAAUUGUCAGAGGUGAAAUUCUUGGAUUUAUGGAAGAUGAACUACUGCGAAAGCAUUUACCAAGGAUGUUUUCAUUAA
RNAcentral lists this ribosomal RNA (379 nucleotides) under uncultured eukaryote. RNAcentral describes it as "partial 18S ribosomal RNA". It matches the Rfam family "Eukaryotic small subunit ribosomal RNA", at positions 592 to 976 of the family's 1831-position model. The record is from RNAcentral.